Molecule: ribosomal RNA, 459 nt
Filed under: uncultured bacterium
Lineage: Bacteria
Description: partial 16S ribosomal RNA
Rfam family: Bacterial small subunit ribosomal RNA
Source: RNAcentral
CCUACGGGGGGCAGCAGUGAGGAAUAUUGGUCAAUGGGCGGAAGCCUGAACCAGCCAAGUAGCGUGCGGGAUGAAGGCCCUACGGGUCGUAAACCGCUUUUGCACGGGGAUAACACCCUCCACUUGUGGAGGUCUGCAGGUACCGUGCGAAUAAGGGCCGGCUAAUUCCGUGCCAGCAGCCGCGGUAAUACGGAAGGCCCGAGCGUUAUCCGGAUUCAUUGGGGUUAAAGGGAGCGUAGGCGGGCGUUCAAGUCAGCGGUAAAAUCGCGGGGCUCAACCGCGCCCCGCAGUUGAAACUGGACGUCUUGAGUUCACAAGAGGCAGGCGGAAUGCGUGGUGUAGCGGUGAAAUGCAUAGAUAUCGCGAAGAACCCCGAUUGCGAAGGCAGCCUGCCGGGGUGCGACUGACGCUGAGGCUCGAAGGUGCGGGUAUCGAACAGGAUUAGAUACCCCAGUAGUC